This is a long non-coding RNA of Telopea speciosissima, 165 nucleotides long. RefSeq lists it as uncharacterized. The transcript has 2 exons. The record is from RefSeq and is a predicted model, not a curated record. Lineage: Eukaryota; Viridiplantae; Streptophyta; Magnoliopsida; Proteales; Proteaceae.
GGAUCAUAAAUCACAAAAUAUUAUCUUCCAAAUCCAAUCAAGAAUGGAACAACAUCUAUGAGGUAGAGGUACAUCAACCAAUCAAACUCAUGCUGAACCCCCAUAGCUUCUUUGCCAACUCCAUGUCCUUAGCUUGUGAAGUGGUUUUGGCUAGGUUACUAUCAG